GAGUCUGUAAGAAGCAUGCUUCACCAGAAGAACUCAGCCAAGGAUCUGAAAAGGCCAGGAAUCCUAGAUAACUAAGUGGGCCUCAGAAAUGGAGACAGAAAUUUUUUGCACAGCUGCAGCCAAGUUGAAGUGUUCCAGGUUACAGUCUCAGUGAAUGCUGGACACUGCCCGGAUCCCAAAUCAAUGAGCCACCUGCCUGGAACAGAUGAUGAUGAUGAUGACGAUGAUGACUACUACUAUUACUAUUUAUUCACUUGUUGAGCUGCACAGAAUUUUUUAAAAUUUUGAAAUGGUGAACAGAACACACUAACCUACCUUGUAAGUUUGCGGUGAUGCUGAAAAGUAGAUACAUGGAAAGUGUACCCUAACUCCAACUUGAUUAUGAUCAGCAAUGGUGCCCUGGUGUUUUGUUGUGUUUUUAUGAGUUUCCUGAAUACAUUGUUCAAUAUCUGGAUUGCAAUACAUGCACUGUGUUCUUCUGACCUGACUCUUCUGACACAUUCCCCACACAUCUGACUGUCAGUGACACACUCAGUAGUCCUCAACCAUCCAGCCACCACCACACAUCAUUCACAACCACACUGACAGGUAGCAUGAACACUUCAAUUUGUUAACCAUCACAAGGUCACACUCUGCGUGUGCAUUUAUGCUGAUAUA
Molecule: long non-coding RNA, 657 nt
Organism: Rhineura floridana
Lineage: Eukaryota; Metazoa; Chordata; Lepidosauria; Squamata; Rhineuridae
Exons: 3
Source: RefSeq, a predicted model, not a curated record